Molecule: long non-coding RNA, 1156 nt
Filed under: Nicotiana benthamiana
Lineage: Eukaryota; Viridiplantae; Streptophyta; Magnoliopsida; Solanales; Solanaceae
Description: long non-coding RNA (NBEN_LNC034946)
Source: RNAcentral
UUUCUUUUGAUUAAACUUUUUAAGAAAGACAAGGAUUACAUUUAGGAGCACUAUCAAAACUACCAGAUCCUCGAGGCCUCGUGGCCUGCCUCUCAUCUUGCUCCUGGCGACGAACUGGCUCAAUCUUGCGAGUGAUAUAAACAACCUCGAACAUCGCAUUGUCAAACUCAGAACCACGAUCAGAUAUAGUGCUCACAAUGUGAUUUUCCAAUGUCAUUUGAAUCUAUUCCAUAAAUACAACAAACACAUGAAACAUUUCGUCCUUGGUUCGUGGAGGUUCGACUCCUCCUUCUAGCGUUCUUUUUAUUUUGUCCAAAAAACUUAGCUAGAAAUCUGUUACUGUUUAUCUUGAAAUCGAUUUUCGAAAACCGCUUUUCAAUUUUUUCAGUUGAUCUCUAUUUGUUUUUCGUCUACAGAGUCGAUUCCGUUUCUUCUGUCGGAGAAUUGCAAGUACAAAGAAACCCUAGAGACCUUUAUUCUCUGUUCUUGCCAUUGUUUAGGUAACAUUGGUCGUAGUAAUUAUCGCUUGCUACUUGCUGUGCUGUAAAUAAGCGUCAACUCGGAUUAAAUGUGAAUGGAUUGAUGGAGAAAUUGUAACAGUUUAUUUCUGAGAAGGAAAAAAAAUGCAUGGCUGUUGAUGAUCAGUGGUUCAAUUUCAUAUUAUCUGCAUAGAGAGGAAAAAAGAAAUAUCUGUACUUGAGCCGAGGGUCUAUUGUCGGAAAUAGCUCUCUAACUUCGCGAAAGGUCUACGUACACACUGUCCUACUCAUAUCUCACUUGUGGUAAUAUAAUUGUUUUUUUGUGUUGUUGUUGUUGUUAGAGAAGAAAAAGAAUGCAAUUUUAUUAUUAUUUCAGUAGUGCCCAGUCUUAAUUUGAUCUGCUUAAUGUGCAUAUCUGAAUUUCUUUGAGUUUUUAGUUGGCUUUUGGUUAUACAUGAAGGAUGAUGAUACAACACAUGCAUCUAUUUGUGGUUGUUUCAUGUUAUUUUUCUGGACUGAAGUGCAUCACAUAUUUGCAGGUUUUACUUUGGUUGAAUUCAGUUCUAGUAACUACAAUUGGCACAAUAUGAGAACAAUUAAACCAAGACUAUUUGGUUAAAAUAGGUUCUGCGGAAAGCAGUGCCUCUUCCGCUAAGGGGGUUCAAAAAGGAGAAAGG